CUUGAAAUAUCACCAGAUUUUAUUUUGUCUUUUCAGUUGGAGAUCAAUCAAAGAAGGACGGAGGUAUGACACAUUUUCCUUACUCAAAGCAACAGUUCAUACUGUGACCUAUUGCAAAGCUCAGUCGCAAUGCAUUUGGCUGGUCCAGGUCUUGAAAAUCAGAGCGCGAUUACACAUGGGCAAGCUACCGUGGGAAUGUGGAUUAACCAACCUGCUAAAUGCCCUCUGGAAAAUUUCCCAACAGUACUGACCACCCUCUCCCUGCCAGACCAACCCCUUCUCUCUAUAAUACCCUGCAUUCUCCCAUUCUUUAACAGCAGUGUGAGAGCCUUUUUCACCACUCUGCCACUUCUCUGUCAGACUUGCACUCACUUGCAGUGGGAAAACUUCUAAAGGCAGAUUUUACAGACUAUCCCAACCGUCAGGGUGAGUCAGGGCUGAAGUAACAGGGUGGAGGGGACGUGACCUGAACAUUAAAUGCGGAUUAUCCUGUGGACAGGCUCAAACUGGAAUCUUUGGUACUCCCAGAAUCCUCACAAGGGCCAAAGCCUGUCAGGACUUUUUGGGGAGUUUUUGUCAUCUGACUGAGUAGUUAAGUAGUUCAGACUCUUAAAGGCUGUUGUCAUCAUGUCAUUUCAACCACGCCUGUUCCUACAAAGGUUUUCCAUUUCAUUUGUUUCUUGAAAAACUUAACAAAAUCUUACUUUAAAUCUUUGAUUAAUGACAGUUAAAAACAGUUGUUCAUCACCGGUAGCCAUGCAAUAACAAAUUCAGUGAGAGUUGUCUGCAUUACUUUGUAUGUAUUUUGUUAACUGACCUGAAUCAAUGGCAAAAAUAUUAAAUAUGAAAU
This is a long non-coding RNA of Notolabrus celidotus (New Zealand spotty), 850 nucleotides long. RefSeq lists it as uncharacterized. The transcript has 3 exons. The record is from RefSeq and is a predicted model, not a curated record. NCBI's taxonomy places the organism in Eukaryota, Metazoa, Chordata, Actinopteri, Labriformes, Labridae.